This 499-nucleotide ribosomal RNA is filed under the name uncultured bacterium. RNAcentral's name for it is "partial 16S ribosomal RNA". It matches the Rfam family "Bacterial small subunit ribosomal RNA", at positions 28 to 507 of the family's 1533-position model. The record is from RNAcentral.
GAUGAACGCUGGCGGCGUGCCUAAUACAUGCAAGUCGAGCGAACAGACGAGAGUGCUUGCACUCUCUGACGUUAGCGGCGGACGGGUGAGUAACACGUGGAUAACCUACCUAUAAGACUGGGAUAACUUCGGGAAACCGGAGCUAAUACCGGAUAAUAUUUAGCUUCGCAUGAAGCAAUAGUGAAAGACGGUUCUGCUGUCACUUAUAGAUGGACCCGCGGUGUAUUAGCUAGUUGGCGAGGUAACGGCUCACCAAGGCAACGAUACAUAGCCGACCUGAGAGGGUGAUCGGCCACACGGGGACUGAGACACGGCCCAGACUCCUACGGGAGGCAGCAGUAGGGAAUCUUCCGCAAUGGACGAAAGUCUGACGGAGCAAUGCCGCGUGAGUGAAGAAGGUUUUCGGAUCGUAAAACUCUGUUGUAAGGGAAGAACAAGUACGUUAGUAACUGAACGUACCUUGACGGUACCUGACCAGAAAGCCACGGCUAACUACGUG